This is a long non-coding RNA of Pan troglodytes (chimpanzee), 3595 nucleotides long. RefSeq lists it as uncharacterized. The transcript has 7 exons. NCBI's taxonomy places the organism in Eukaryota, Metazoa, Chordata, Mammalia, Primates, Hominidae. The record is from RefSeq and is a predicted model, not a curated record.
AAUUAGAACAUUGGCUGCGACGACAGAGACUGAAGCGCAGCUGGAGUGGUAAAAUGGCAGACGAGCAGCUGCAGUGGCUCCAUGCGGUGCUACAGGGGGAGGGGAAGGUGGUUUCUCCUGACACAAGCUGGAGGCCGGAGCCUGUGGCACCCUGGCUCGCCUCACUGAAGCUGGUGGCUGUGACAGGGACUGCACGGCUGCCGGAGUGGUAGAAAGGCAGCCAUGGUAGGAGCCGCAGCCCCAGUGGGCCCAACGGUUCCUGUGGGUGGGGAGCCAGCCACCGUGGAGUCUCCAGUUCACUGAAACCUGUCACUGCCACCCAGUGGCCACCAUGACAAGUCGAAGAACUUAAUGCUCCCUGAAUCCAAAUAUUAAGGUUAAGAAAAGAAAGGAAAUGUUUGCAGAGAAAGUAUGUUUUACAAGUGAAUUAAAGAUGGAUUCAUAGUGGUUUAUAGAUUUACCUAGAGUUUUGAGUUCAGGAAGCCAUAAUUCUUUAGAAGGCAGUGACAGAACAGUACCAGCAGAAAUUGAAGGACCAGCAGAAGGGAUCAUGGCCAAAGUUGCAGUGUCCCCCCGCUCGUUGAAGAUGAGGAGUUCUCAGAGAGCGGGAUGGUUGUGACAUUCCUCAUGUCAGCUCUCGAGUCCAUGAGUCUCACUCGGUCGUCCAGGCUGGAGUGCAGUGGCACCAUCUUGGCUCGUUGCAACAUCUGGCUCCCAGUACAGACUGGGUUUCACCAUGCCAACCAUGCUGAUCGUGAGCUCCUCACCUCAGGUGAUCCACACACCUCAGCCUCCUAAAGUGCUGGGAUUAUAGGCGUCAGCCACCGCUUCUGGCCUAGAUCAUCAACAUAUCACUAUGAUACUAAAAUUCCCUCUCCCAAAGAAAAUCUUGCCAUUUUGUGACAUGAGUCGUAUAAAGAUGUAUGUUUAUAUGCACUGAACCUGUGCACCUAGAGUUCCACCCUGCUCAUGCUAACAUUGUUCUCCCUCCCUGUACCUAGUUCUUAAAAACUCCAUGCCUUCCAUUUUUCAGGGAAAGGGUGUCUUUAGAGCAAGAACUCUUUUCUUCUCCAUCCCAGGCAGGAAAGAAAACCCACUUGGCCUUGUUUCUGAUUGGGUUUUCUUGCUUUGCGACUAAUACAAAGCAGGAAAAAACCUCCCUUUAUCAGUGAUAAAGACAAGUAAGAUUAUUAUUUACCCACCUAUUCUAGCUAAGGGUCAUGGGUGGCCGGAGUCUCUCCUAGCAACUCAGGGCGCUAGGCAGAACCAGCCCUGGAUCUGGAAUAGGGUGCCAUCAUAUGGCAGAGUGUACAUACACACACACACACACACACACACACACACACACAGAGCUCAAAUGGGGACUAUUUAGAAAUGAUAGUUCACAUAAUGGGCACAUCUUUGAGAUGUGGGAGGAAACUGGGAGUACCCAGUGAAAACCCAUGUGGACCUGGGGAGAAUGUGUAAAGGACACACAGGAAGUGGCCAGCUGGGAGUUGAUUGUUUUUUCUUAUCAACAUUACAAUGAAAGGGUACUGAGCGAAAUGACAUUAUUCAAGUACCUGCUGUAAUAGUCAGACUCCUUCAUACAAAAUUCAAAGCCCUCUACACUCGGGCACUACAUUAGACUUCCAUCCUACACCUACAUUCUAGCCACUGUACUACACAUCAUUUACCAAAGGUGCUGUAUACUUCUGUGCUACCAAACAUUUGCCAGUCUGGUUCCCUCUGCAUUUCAAGAUUACACACCCCUCAUAAUCCUGCAAAGCCUUUCCUAUCAAUUUUUCUGUGAAGCUUUUCAGAAUCCACCACCACUCCCACCAUCACCCCAACUCCCUGAGAGGGCAGAUCUCUCUCUCCGUUUGGCAGCCACUUUUAUUAAAACAUUUUUCACUGAUACUAUGAGUCUGCCUUCUCCUUUGGGAAACUUUCUCAGACUCCUAUACCCAGAGUUAAGCACUCCAUAUUUUCCUACCUUGGUCCCUGGUAUGUAAUUCUACUCCAGCAUAGAAUAGAGAAGCCAGAAUCAUCUUUCUGUAAAAUUCUAUCUUCUGUUAGACCCUGUGUCCCUUGAGGAUAUCAUUCAUCAUUGUUUCCCCAGGGCCUUGCACACCUUACUCUGGGCCUCCAGCUUAGCCUGUUUCUAUGCAGGCUGCCCAUGGCUGAUGCCAACCAGUCCUGUCCCUCUAUAUCCAAGCACCAGACUUCCUUACUGACCCUUUGCAAUUUCAGACCCUCCAUCACCCUCCUGUAUCCUGCUGGAGAUUUUGGAGCAUCUCAGCAUCUCUGGGGCAGCUCGUGGGCAUCAGGGAGGGGCAGGCAACAAAGCCCACAUAGACUCUUACAGGUAUCUCAGGAUCUCCCAGUGGGAUCCUCUUUUCCCCAGCCCAUUCCUUAAAAUUCUGCUGACUCCCCUACUUCUUCCUCCAGCUCAGCACUUAGCUGGAGUUGCCCCAAAGGUGAUCACAGAGGAAUUUUCACAAGGGACUGUUCCAGACUGUCUGAGAUGAAGGGGGUUAGGAUUCCAAAGAAGUAAACUCUAAACCCUGAUAUGAUGAGCCCAAAGCAUUUCUUAAGGAAUGUACACACAGUGAGGGCUGCAGCUCAUCUUAUUGGGAGGAAAGGAGACCAAGGAUGCUUUGUCUAGGUAUCUUUGCAGUGAGGGGUCUGGUUAUGCAGUUUAUAGGAGAGUUUAAGGAAUCUCCCAGGACCAGGGAUACUUUCUUUUAGUGUUUUGAAUUACAACCUAAACACAACACCUUUACUUAUGUCUGCGAAUGUUCAGAGCCCUGACUUGGGUUCAAGUCUGCAGGGGAAAGCAUGCAGGUAUCCGGGCCACAGAAUAACAGAGCAGUCAAGCGUCUGUGUAUUCUUGGUCAGAACAGAUGGAAAAUGUGAAGAAACUGUGGAAUUGUACUCUAUCCUUUCUAGUAAGACUUGAUAUUAGGAAGUAUAAGUCAUGUGAUUCUGUUUUUCUUUUUAAAAACUGUUUUGUGAAAUUUGAUUUUCUGUACAUACAUAUUGAUUUAAGGGAGUGAGAGACUUUCUAAUUUCUAAAAAAAUAUACUUGGAAAUUUGAAGGGAUUAUAUUGAAUCUGCAAAUCAAUUUAUAGGGUAUUGUUAUCCUAAGAAUAUUAAGUAUUUAAAAAAUUAUUGUAGGUAUACGUAUGUAUGGGGUACAUGGGAUGUUUUGAUAUAGGCAUACAAUGCAUAAUAAUCACUCAUAUCCUGGAGGGUAGGGUAUCCAUCCCCUCAAACAUGUAACCUUUGCCUUACAAACAGUCCAUCCUUGAACAUAAAAUGACUUCCAGUUAUUUUUCAGUUUAUCUUUGAUUUCUUUCAGUGUUACAAAUUGUGUAAAAUUCCUGUAUCUGUCUUGAAUUUUUUCUCUUAAUGUUUUUUAUUGAUGCCAUUAUAAAUGGAAUUGUUUUCUUUAUUUUAUUUUUAAUUGUUGGUUGCUUUUAUAUAAACCAUAAUCUACUUUGGCAUGCCAGUUUUCUGUCUUGUAACACGGAUAAAUUUGUGUAUUAGUUCUACUGAUAGUGAAUCUCUUUUUUUUUUUGCUUUAUAAAAACAGUAAAAGAAGCUUAUUCAA